UCACCAGCUGGACAUGUGUCUUUGACGACACAGCAUGAAGUGGAAAUGGGAAGAUGGUCUGAAUCAGUCCUUGAAUCAGAUGACUGCGAUGAAACUGGAAGAGAGUCACAGAGGCUGAUGUCACUUACGCUGGGCAGGAGGGUGGGCCCAGAGACAAGGGAAGGCCAGUGGCGCAGGCCAAGGCCACUGGAGGGAGUCUUUCCCCAUCUGAUGAGUGGUCUGUAAUGGCCCUGUGGGGGGUCGUGUCACAGCUGGACUAAGGACAGGACUUGCUCUGUGGACCAGGGAAUCGGAGACCCUGGUCUCGCCCUGGUUUUAAAAUUGAGCCCCUGUUCUCCAUUCAUCUAUCUACAGGUGGUUCUUCCCUCCAGAAGUCUAAGACGGGAGAGAAUUUAGUAUGAGCCCCUGGACUUUUCCUUAGCAGAGGCUCAGUCUGUACCAGGUGUAUGUGAUUUGCUUGUGUGUGCAAGAGAAAGCACAGCGUCGCGUGAAUCCUGAUGCUCACGAAUAGAACCGCCAGCUGAGGCUGACACUCCAGUGCCUCCCUGACAGUGUAUCGGGACCAGUCAUAGAGUCAGGAAGGACUUUAUAGAGAUUCAUAGAUUUUUCAGGUAGCCAAUCCUUAAACUCACAGAGCACACAGAUUGUCUAGAUCUGAAAACCUAAAGGCAGAUGUAUCAGUCAGAGCUCAUUGCAGGAAACGGAAACCAUUCUAGAAAUAUUAAGUGGAAAGAGUCUUAAUACAGAGAAUUUUGUCUUUACAAAAUGGUUGCAAAGGCUGAAGGAGCAGGUUCUCUGCUGGGCCGCUGGAAGGACUCCGAGAAGAAUACAGACCCGGCCCCUGGGAGAGCUGCUGCCUCUGAGACUUCCCGAGAGAGGGGCUGCUGCGGCACCUGCUGCUCCUGGAGAACGCUGCCCAAGGCCCCAGUCCGAUCCUGGGAUCAGGAAGGCACGAGCUGGGGAAUGGAGACUGUGAGGUUGCUGCUGGAAACCCCGCCUCUCUGCGACCUAAUUUGCAGCAGUGACCGUCAAGCUUUGCAGGAAGAGGGCAUCUGGCUCACGUCCGCCUUCUACAGGUGUCCUUUGGUGCAAGCUAAUUUGCAUCCAGAACCCUAGCUGCAAGGAGGCCUGGGAAAUGCCUCCCAAUUCUUGCAUCGGACAGAAGGAGAGGUCAAGUGGGCCAUUCGAGAGAGUCCGGCUCACAGGUCAAUGCCAGUGGGUGCUGGAUGGCUUAAGUGGAUUGAUGCAAUAUUGACUCUUCAGGAAAAGUUUGACUCAGAAACGUGUUACAUGUUGGGUGGGGCAUCCAUGGUCUGGGGGAAGAUGCUGAGGAGCAGAGUUCCGAUGGACCUCGGUUCAACUGGACUUAGAAUUCCAGAUCUGCCACUACCAAGCUCUGUGACAUUGAGCAGGUGAGCAACCAGGAGUCUGGAGAUGGAGGUGCCACCUCAUGAACCAGCGUACGCCAGGAUCUGGAGCCUCAGGGCGUUUCCAUCUUCUAGAACGCUGGUUGGCCUCAUACGCUGCAGUCCCCGGUGAAUGACACACUCAGGAAGAUACUUCUGUAGAGGACAGAGAAAGCCGGCCUGCUGGGUCUAUCCAGGGGUGUGGAUGUCCGCACCUGGGGUGCUCGAACACUCUAGUGUCAGAACAAGUCUAGUGUCUUGACCACUCUAGAAGAAUUGCAGAAUGUGUCUUUCGUGGACACAUAGAAACCCAAAGAGGCUGACCGAGUGUGGUCUGAAGGUGAGCUUAGGCAGAGGACUCAUUUCAAUGUCUCAGAACUACCUGUGACUUAAUUUAAAUUAUUGCUGUUAAAUUAAACUUCCAAAUCAUGUAUAAAGUCUGUCCUCAGGUAGUUUCGUGUGUCUGGGAGCCCUCUUCAUGCUUUCCUUUGACGGGGUCCACCAUGCCUUCCUGUCCUGGCCCCAAGGUCCUUACCGAGGCAGACCUCAUGACUUCGGAAUUUAGAAUUAACCUCCCGUUUCACAGAUGAGAAUAUUAGGCCUGGUGAGACAGGGCUGAGGAGAGCUUACAGGGUGACUCAAAGGAUGGGGGAGGGGCAGAGGCCACAGCCUCAGGAACAAGCACACAACUCUGGCCUCUAACACCAAUGUGCUCUGAGAUCUACGAAAAGCCACAGCCUCUCUGGGUCUUGGCUUUCUCAUCUAUGAAAUAACAUUUUGGGCAAUAUUAUGGCCUGAGUUGUGUCCCCCUAAAUUUAUACACUGAAGUCCUGACCCCCAGUCCCUCAGAAUGUGACUGUGUAUUUGGAGACAGAGUCUUUACAGACGUGAUGAAGGUAAAAUGAGGUCAUGAAGUGGGCCCCAAUCCAAAAUGACUACUGUCCUUAUAAGAAGAGGAUAUUAGGACACAGACACACGCUUGGAAGACCAAGUGGGGACACAGAGAGAAGACAGCCAUCUACGAGCCAAGGAGAGAGGCCUCAGGAGAAACCAGCCCUGCUGACACCUUGAUCUCAGACUCCCAGCCUCCAGAACUGUGAGAAAUAAAUGUCUGUUUUUUAAGCCCCCAGUUUGUGGUUCUGUGUUAUGGCCACCCUGGCAAACUCAUAGAGACGAGAUCAUUCCAUAGUAUGUAGAUGGAAAACACAAGCGUUUGUUCCUUGCUGCUGGUUAGUUACUGUGGACCCUUAAACUAUCCAUGGGCUGUGGUUGGCUGGGAGUUGAACAAAUGAGAUUGGGCCCUAAGAGGUUUCUGGAGCCUGAGGUCUUGGAAUUGGCAUUUAUCCCUUCAGGAGACGCACUCUGCUGUGCUCUUUCCUCACCACCUCGCUGCCCUCUUGGCUGCCUCUCAGGGCCGAGCACAUGCUGGUGGCUUCCUCUGCCCCAAACACUCCACAUUCUUGCACAUUUUGUCCAAC
This is a long non-coding RNA of Equus quagga, 2884 nucleotides long. RefSeq lists it as uncharacterized. The transcript is spliced from 3 exons. The record is from RefSeq and is a predicted model, not a curated record. NCBI's taxonomy places the organism in Eukaryota, Metazoa, Chordata, Mammalia, Perissodactyla, Equidae.